Molecule: long non-coding RNA, 1891 nt
Filed under: Helianthus annuus (common sunflower)
Lineage: Eukaryota; Viridiplantae; Streptophyta; Magnoliopsida; Asterales; Asteraceae
Description: hypothetical non coding rna
Source: RNAcentral
GUUUUGUAUUAAUUAAUUAAUUAAUAAUAAUAGUAGUAGUAAAUUGAAUGAAAGAAUGCCAUGUGGCAUUAAGUUGCUCUUGUUUUAGUAUAAGAAUGCCAUGUGGCAUUAAUCAUACUUUUUUAUUAGUAUUAGAUAAGUAUGAAGUUCGUGAAAGAUAACGUGAUCAAACAUAAUUAUCUUAUUUUUUUAGUUUCAAUUUCACGCCUUAUACUAUUUACAAUAUAUUCAACAUAACAUAGAUGAAAAUCAGGGAGUUAAAAAACUAAGGAGACAAUUGAUAUGUUAGUUUUUUUUUGGAAUUUAAUAAAAAUGGAAAAUGAAUUCUAUUUGAAAUUUGAAAAGUAAACAAGAAGGAAACAUGGAAAAUAAUUAUAUAUAUAUUAAAAAAUAAAGCUAAUGAAUAGUAAGUCUUUUCAGCUCAUCCUAUUUUUAUACUGCAUAUAUACAAUUUCAGCUCAUCCUAUUUUUAUACUGCAUAUAUACAAUUUCAUUUUAUAGUCUUACAUGAUUUGACUCUUGGUUUAGUGGUAGGUGUGGUGUUUGUUCCCAGCUUUGAUGCUGGUUCAAAUCUCAUCCCAUCACUUUUUUCCUUUUAAUCUACCCAAAUAGGUGUCUACAAAACAUAUUUAUUCACUCUACAUCACCUAAUCACCACCAUCAUCAUCUCCUUUUUUUCCCCAAAAUCAAAACCCUAAAUCCCUUCACCUCUAGAUCACCUGAUCACCACCACCAUCAUCCCCUUUUUUCCCCAAAAACAAAACCCUAAAUCCACCGAAUUCACCUAGGGUUUCACUCCACAACUACCCCAAUUUCAUCACCAUGUACAGCAACUUCAAAGAACAAGCAAUCGAGUACGUAAAUUCUAUUUAUUCGUCUAGCUCUCAACCAUUCCAUGUGCAAUCUAUAUAUACACAUGCUAAUUGUAACUAGCAUUAACUUAUAAUUAGGAGAAUUAUCGUACAUGAUGUAUGCCCAUUAUCAUCAUUUAUAACAAUUUCUUAUUUGUUUGGUUUGUAGAAUUUGUUUGAAUUAGAAUCUAAAAGAUAACAUGUUUUAUUGGAAAAAGAAGUUAAAAUUGAAAUAAAUUCCUUUAUAAUAAUUAUCUCAAAUUGGAAAAAGAAGUUAAAAUCGAAAUAAAUUUUCUUUAGCUCUUUUAAUAAUUAGCUCAACUAGAGAAGGAAUUCAAUCAAAAGAAUUGAAAUCGCUCACUCCCUCACUAUUGUCACCACUAUCAUCCACAACAACUAGCUGGUGCCACUGCCACCACCAUCGCCACUGUUAACACCAUGCCUAUCAUCUUACCACCUUGUGCAUUGUCACAACCAAAACACAUUCCAAAUUCGUUAAUAAACCGGCAAACUAAACAUGACAUGUUUUUUCAACAAAAUAUAUUAUAAUUUUCGGUUCCUUUGGUACUAAAUUUGUUUCCUUUAAUUUCAAUUUGCUUUGACGAAUUACAAUCCUUAGAAAAAGAAUUAUGAGCCAAACAUAUCCUAAGGGUGGAGGGAGUGGUCUCGGGGAGUGCUUCGGGCAGGGGGUUUACCGAUUUGGGAUGUAUUGCCGGUGGAUGUUCGGUGAUCGAGGAAGAGGAGAGGUGGUGUAGGCGGUGAGUAGUCACCGAGUGGGGAAGAGGAGAGAGGUGGGAGAGAGAGGGGUAAUGCGACAUCAACGUCACACAGUACGGAGAUCUCGUGAGCUUUCUUCAACAAUCCAGACCUCCGUUUCGAGAAGGUUACCUGUCGAUUGAUUUUGUUUUCAAUUCUCUUCAACGUCACCUUACCUCUCCCCAUCGUGUAACCGCCGGUAACAACCACCAGUUGUUUAUGAUGCUUCUGUUGCUGGUGGCGGUGGUGGAAGAAUAUAUUAUUAUAUCACCUAAUUUGGGAAU